UACGUAGGGUGCGAGCGUUGUCCGGAUUUAUUGGGCGUAAAGAGCGUGUAGGCGGCCUGACAGGUCAGCUGUGAAAACUCGAGGCUCAACCUCGAGACGUCGGUUGAAACCAUCUGGCUAGAGUCCGGGAGAGGAGAGUGGAAUUCCUGGUGUAGCGGUGAAAUGCGCAGAUAUCAGGAAGAACACCCGUGGCGAAAGCGGCUCUCUGGAACGGUACUGACGCUGAGGCGCGAAAGCGUGGGGAGCGAACAGG
This 253-nucleotide ribosomal RNA is filed under the name uncultured bacterium. RNAcentral's name for it is "partial 16S ribosomal RNA". It matches the Rfam family "Bacterial small subunit ribosomal RNA", at positions 524 to 776 of the family's 1533-position model. The record is from RNAcentral.